UAAAAUUUGAUUCUGGUUUUUGAAAAUUUAUAAUGAUAUUAUUUAUUUUUAAUUUAUUUAGUAGGCAAUAAAUAUUUACCUCGGCAAUUUAUCGUCCGUAAAAAAUGAGUUCCAGAAUAAUCGGCUAUACUUAUUAGGUCUUGUACUUUAAAUAGUUUUAAUUACAACAGUUAUUUUAAAUUUUAAAAAUUUUAGGUAGAAUUAGAAUUUUUUUUUAAUAAUAUAGUUGUAAUAUUAAAUUUUGAUAAAUGAAUUAGAUUAGUACCUAAUUAAACAAAAAUUAAAAAUACAGAAGUAAAGUUGUAUUUAAACUGAAAGAAUACUGGCAGGUUAUCUAAAUAAUCUUUGGAGGUUGAGUAUUAAUUGAUAACCCUCAUUAACUACCUUAUAUUUAGUCACGUGUAUGAUCGUUUAUUUUAUUCUUUAGGAUUAAAAGUAAAAGUUUUUCUUAUAAAAACAGAUAUAUAUCCGGUUUAAUAUAAGGUUAAACUUGACCUACAAUAUAGUAAUAUGUAAAUAAUAAUGUAGUUAUUAUUUGAAAAUGUAAAAGAGAGUAAAGAAGUUUUUAUAUCUUCUUGAAGGAUAUCUAGUAACGGUUCAAAUCAUCCAUCAAUUGCCCACAGGGGAGUAAGUUGUAGUAAAGUAAGUUUAGGUGAACCUGAACUUAAAAAU
Molecule: non-coding RNA, 672 nt
Filed under: Allodiplogaster sudhausi
Lineage: Eukaryota; Metazoa; Nematoda; Chromadorea; Rhabditida; Diplogasteridae
Source: RNAcentral